AUAACAAAAUCCUAAUUCUAAUAGAAUACUAACAAUACUCUAAUUAGACCAUAAUAAUGCUAAGCAAGCUUAAUCAAAUUCAAAAAAACCUCAAAGAAAAUUCAAAUAAAUAAUAAGAAUUCUUAAAGAAAUAUUAGAAAGAUCACAAAUAUCACUCAAAUACAUCUCAAUUCAAUCUUAAUUUAAUUCUUCUUAAAAUCCUAUUGAACUUCAUUCAAACUUUAGGCCAAAACUAAUUGAAUCUUAAAUCCUAAUAAAAUCCUAAAUCCUAAAUCAAAUCCUAAACAAACCUUAAAUCAAAUCUCAACCAAAUCUUAAAUCAAAUCCUAACCGAAUCCUAAAUCCUAAAUCAAACCCUAACCAAAUCCUAAUCAAAAUCCUAAACCCUAAACCAAACCCUAAUAAAACCUUAAAUCCUAAAUCCUAAACUAAACCCUAAUUCAAAUCCUAAAUCCUAAACCAAAUCCUAAAUCCUAAACAAAUCCUAACUAAAUCCUAUACCAAAUCCUAAAUCCUAAAUCAAACCCUAAUCCAAAUCCUAAACCCUAAACCAAAUCCUAACCGAAUCCUA
Molecule: long non-coding RNA, 571 nt
Filed under: Physcomitrium patens
Lineage: Eukaryota; Viridiplantae; Streptophyta; Bryopsida; Funariales; Funariaceae
Description: long non-coding RNA (PPAT_LNC004903)
Source: RNAcentral